AUUGAACGCUGGCGGCAGGCCUAACACAUGCAAGUCGAGCGGAUGACGGGAGCUUGCUCCUUGAUUCAGCGGCGGACGGGUGAGUAAUGCCUAGGAAUCUGCCUGGUAGUGGGGGACAACGUUUCGAAAGGAACGCUAAUACCGCAUACGUCCUACGGGAGAAAGCAGGGGACCUUCGGGCCUUGCGCUAUCAGAUGAGCCUAGGUCGGAUUAGCUAGUUGGUGGGGUAAUGGCUCACCAAGGCGACGAUCCGUAACUGGUCUGAGAGGAUGAUCAGUCCAACUGGAACUGGGACACGGUCCAGACUCCUACGGGAGGCAGCAGUGGGGAAUAUUGGACAAUGGGCGAAAGCCUGAUCCAGCCAUGCCGCGUGUGUGAAGAAGGUCUUCGGAUUGUAAAGCACUUUAAGUUGGGAGGAAGGGCAGUAAGCUAAUACCUUGCUGUUUUGACGUUACCGACAGAAUAAGCACCGGCUAACUCUGUGCCAGCCGCCGCGGUAA
Molecule: ribosomal RNA, 500 nt
Filed under: uncultured bacterium
Lineage: Bacteria
Description: partial 16S ribosomal RNA
Rfam family: Bacterial small subunit ribosomal RNA
Source: RNAcentral